Molecule: ribosomal RNA, 464 nt
Filed under: uncultured bacterium
Lineage: Bacteria
Description: partial 16S ribosomal RNA
Rfam family: Bacterial small subunit ribosomal RNA
Source: RNAcentral
GACGAACGCUGGCGGCGUGCUUAACACAUGCAAGUCGAACGGAAAGGCCCAGCUUGCUGGGUGCUCGAGUGGCGAACGGGUGAGUAACACGUGGGUGAUCUGCCCCUAACUUCGGGAUAAGCCUGGGACACUGGGUCUAAUACCGGAUAGGACAAUCGUUUAGUGUCGGUUGUGGAAAGUUUUUUCGGUUAGGGAUGAGCCCGCGGCCUAUCAGCUUGUUGGUGGGGUAAUGGCCUACCAAGGCGUCGACGGGUAGCCGGCCUGAGAGGGUGGACGGCCACAUUGGGACUGAGAUACGGCCCAGACUCCUACGGGAGGCAGCAGUGGGGAAUAUUGCACAAUGGGCGCAAGCCUGAUGCAGCGACGCCGCGUGGGGGAUGACGGCCUUCGGGUUGUAAACCUCUUUCGACAGGGACGAAGCUUUGGUGACGGUACCUGUAGAAGAAGCACCGGCUAACUACGUG